GGAGUUUGGUCCGUGUCUCAGUACCAAUGUGGGGGACCUUCCUCUCAGAACCCCUACUGAUCGUAGCCUUGGUGGGCCGUUACCCCGCCAACAAGCUAAUCAGACGCAUCCCCAUCCCUUAGCGAUAAAUCUUUGGUAUUCGUCAGAUGUCCUCAAAAUACAACAUAGAGUAUUAAUCCGACUUUCGCCGGGCUAUCCUCUACUAAGGGGAAGGUUGGAUACGCGUUACUCACCCGUGCGCCGGUCGCCAUCUGAAAUAGCAAGCUAUCUCAAUGCUGCCCCUCGACUUGCAUGUGUUAAGCCUGUAGCUAGCGUUCAUC
RNAcentral lists this ribosomal RNA (320 nucleotides) under uncultured Prevotella sp. RNAcentral describes it as "partial 16S ribosomal RNA". Lineage: Bacteria; Pseudomonadati; Bacteroidota; Bacteroidia; Bacteroidales; Prevotellaceae. The record is from RNAcentral.